This is a long non-coding RNA of Mus musculus (house mouse), 2501 nucleotides long. RefSeq annotates it as predicted gene, 54051. Lineage: Eukaryota; Metazoa; Chordata; Mammalia; Rodentia; Muridae. The transcript has 3 exons. The record is from RefSeq and is a predicted model, not a curated record.
CAACAGAAGAAUCAGAGCAUCCUCCAUCCUCCCGACCCAAGGGGGCUAUCUUGUCCAGCUGCCUUCACUUGAGUCACCAAAAAGCAUCAGAAAGAAGACCAAACCAACAAAAACCCAAGACUGAACCAGGAGAAAGAACUGCACAGACCUUGUUGACUGACUGAGUGGGCCGGGUCAGGUGGUUACCACAAUGUGAGGGCUCAGUGAAGGACAUCUCAGGAAUUGGAAGCCAGUGCAUAAGAAAAUAAAGAAAAUCUGGGCCAGUGGUGAAAUGGAAGGAUCCACUUACCGGCAUAUGGCAUGGUCCCCAUUGGGGAUUAACAUGAAGAAGAGGGCAUGUUAGUGUUUUUUCGAAGGAUGCUGAAGGAGCUCGGUGGCUGCCAAAGCAAUUGGUGAGACAAGCUGACGCUGGGACAAAGAAUGAUGCUGACUGUGAGCUUGCUGAGUGCCCUGACAGUGGUGACAGGGAAACUGUAUUGGGCAUAUGUUCCUGACCCACCUUUGCUUGCCUAUAUCCCAGACUAGACGAGCUGCCUUGCCUCAAGCUUUUAGACUUCGUGGGACAGAGAAUGUGGAGACUGUGGAAACUGCCUUCAAAAAAAUUAAUCAAAUAGAGAGGUUAGAAUGACCCUUCUCUUUCCUUUGAUGUGUUCAGUUAUUCUGACUCAAUCACGGACUGGUCUGGAAAUCAAUUCAAUAUUCGAAAAAAGGAAAAGACGGUGGGUAUUUGGAGGGCUGAUUCUAGACAUUUUCAAAGGCAUAUUUGAAAAUUGACAGUUGCCUUGUAUGAUAUUAUGUUUGCUGUGGGUAAAAAUGGAACAGGUUCUGGGGUUAAGAUAAAUGUGACAUUCUGCUUUGUCCCACCUAAUGGGAAUGUUACCUUUGUUAUUGGCUCUGAAAAUGAGUUCAAUGUUUCUUGUUUUGUUUUGUUUUUAAAGAUUUAUUUAUUUUAUGUAUAUGAGUACGCACUGUAGUUGUACAGAUGUUUGUGAGCCUUCAUGUGAUUGUUGGGAAUUGAACUUAGAACCUCUGCUUGCUCUGGCCAACCCCACUUGCUCCAGCCCAAAGAUUUAUUUAUUAUUAUAAGUUCACUGUAGCUGUCUUCAAACGCACCAGAAGAGGGCAUCAGAUCUCAUUAUGGGUGGUUGUGAGCCACCAUGUGGUUGCUGGGAUUUGAACUCAGUAGCUUUGGAAGAGCAGUCAGUGCUCUUACCCACUGAACCAUCUCACCAGCCCAAUAUUUCUUGUUUUAAUUGUUUUUUGCCCAAUCGUGUUUCUGUGCUGUACAAUGGUCUAUCUGUAAUGGUAGCACAUCAACCAGCUUCUGUCAUGAUUCCUGUAAAUUUAUCUGAACCUUGGUGUUCUGAAAAAGGUUUACAAAUAUAAGAAGAAGUGAGUCAGGUUUUAAGUAGAAGCAAGAGGGUAAUUGAUGUGUUUAUAAAAAGAUAAAGAGGGGGGGAUAUGUUUUGGUGGAUGUGUGGUGAGGUGUUAGGGAAGGGGAUUCCUCGGCAGGCCCAUAAUGAGGCAUCCCUUCCCCCUGAGAGACCAGCCAGAGAAGGAAUGGUAUAGAAAAGAGUUUAUUCAGAGUAUGGGGAGGGGAGUUGAGAGGGUAGUAGAGGCAGAGAAAGGGAGAGAGAGAGAGAGAGAGAGAGAGAGAGAGAGAGAGAGAGAGAGAGAGAAGAGAAGAGAAGAGAAGAGAAGAGAAGAGAAGAGAAGAGAAGAGAAGAGAAGAGAAGAGAAGAGAAGAGAAGAGAAGAGAAGAGAAGAGAAGUAGAGGCGCAGGAAGGCAAGAGCAAGAGAGAGGGAGGAGGGGGCAAGCAGCCCCUUUUAUAGAGAGUCAGGCACACCUGGCUGUUGCCAGGGAACUGUGGGACAGAGCUUAGACAAAAUGCUAACAGUAUUGGGUUUGAUUGUUACCGGGAGGCAGCUUUGAUUACAUAACAAUAAUCACUAGCACCACUGCUUCUGCAAUUGUUUUGAGGCAAGAAGUUAAGACAGCCCAUUUUGUUAAUCACUUAGCAAAAAAAUGUUACUAAUACUCUUAGUAUUUAGAUAGGAUUUUGGAGAAACAAAUUGAUGCUUUUUUCUUAAGAUUUAUUAUUAUAUCUAAGUACACUGUAGCUGUCUUCAGACACACCAGAAGAGGGAGGGCGUCAGAUCUUAUUAAGGAUGGUUGUGAGCCACCAUGUGGUUGCUGGGAUUUGAACUUAUGACCCUUGGAAGAGCAGUCAGUGCUCUUACCCACUGAGCCACCUCUCCAGCCCAAACUGAUGCUUUUUAUGAUACUAUUCAAAUUAUUGGAGAGGAGGUUCAGAAUUUCAGAGUAAGAAGCCAUCUCGAGUAUCAUGCUAAAUACCAAUGGAUUUAUGUUACUUCUAAAAUUUAUAAUGACAGUCACUAUAAAUGGGAGAAAAUUCAAAGACACUUGCAGGGUAUUUGACAUAAUUCUAACACCUCUCUCCUCUCUGGAUUUUUGUUUUUGUUUUUGUUUUGUUUUUUUU